Molecule: ribosomal RNA, 1994 nt
Filed under: human gut metagenome
Description: bacterial LSU rRNA
Rfam family: Bacterial large subunit ribosomal RNA
Source: RNAcentral
UAAAGAUUUUAAGGGCGUACGGUGGAUGCCUUGGCGAUAUCAGCCGAAGAAGGACGCGGUAAGCUGCGAUAAGCUACGGAGAGGUGCAAGCAACCUGUGACCCGUAGAUUUCCGAAUGGGGGAACCCGGCAGUGGUUAUGCACUGUCACCCAUAGCUUAGACUAUGAGGAGGGCACCUGGGGAACUGAAACAUCUAAUUACCCGGAGGAACAGUAAUCAAACGAGAUUUUCUUAGUAGCGGCGAGCGAACGGGAAAGAGGCCAAACCGGAGCGGGCAACCGCACCGGGGUUGAGGACAGUCAUCAAGUGUAAAUGAGGUAGAAGAAUCGAGCUGGAAAGCUCAGCCGCAGAAGGUGAAAGCCCUGUAAUCGAAACCUUGCAUACAUGGGACUGUAUCCAGAGUACCACGAGACACGUGAAACCUUGUGGGAAGCAGGGGGGACCACCCUCCAAGCCAAAAUACUGAUAUCGACCGAUAGCGCAUAGUACCGUGAGGGAAAGGUGAAAAGAACCCCUGGCGGGGAGUGAAAGAGAACCUGAAACCGUAUGUCUACAAACAGUCGAAGUCUGUAUAUAUAUCAGGACGACGGCGUGCCUAUUGAAGAAUGAACCGACGAGUUACUGUUGCUAGCGAGGUUAAGUGGAAAACAUGGAGCCGCAGCGAAAGCGAGUCUGAACAGGGCGUUCAGUUAGUAAUAGUAGACCCGAAACCGUAGUGAUCUAUCCAUGGCCAGGUUGAAGCACAGGUAAAAUUGUGUGGAGGACCGAACUCGUGAGCGUUGAAAAGCUUUGGGAUGAGUUGUGGAUAGGGGUGAAAUGCCAAUCGAACACGGAGAUAGCUGGUUCUCCCCGAAAUAGCUUUAGGGCUAGCCUCGAGGUAGAGAGUAUAGGCGGUAGAGCACUGAUCGGGCUAGGGGCCAUACCGGUUACCGAACCUAGUCAAACUACGAAUGGCUAUACUUAUACUCGGGAGUCAGACAGUGAAUGAUAAGGUCCAUUGUCAAGAGGGAAACAGCCCAGAACACCGACUAAGGUCCCCAAUGUUACACUAAGUGGCGAAGGAUGUGGAAUUUCCAAAACAACCAGGAUGUUGGCUUAGAAGCAGCCACCAUUUAAAGAGUGCGUAAUAGCUCACUGGUCGAGAGACUCUGCGCCGAAAAUGUCCGGGGCUAAAGUGUAAAACCGAAGUCGUGUCAUAUGCAGCAAUGUAUAUGGGUAGGGGAGCGUUCUCAUCGGGCUGAAGCAGUACCGUAAGGAGUUGUGGACUGAUGAGAAGUGAGAAUGUCGGUAUGAGUAGCGAAAAGAAUGGUGAGAAUCCAUUCCACCGAAAGCCUAAGGGUUCCUGAGCAACGAUCGUCGUCUCAGGGUAAGUCGGGACCUAAGCCGAGGCGGAAAAGCGUAGGCGAUGGACAACAGGUUGAAAUUCCUGUACCGGUGUGAAUCGUUUGAUCGAUGGAGUGACACAGUAAGGUAGGUCAGCACGCGAUUGGAAGAGCGUGUUUAAGCAGGUAGGUUGAGCUAUAGGCAAAUCCGUAGCUCUAAAAGCUGAGAUGUGAUGACGAGUGACUAGCAAUAGUCGCGAAGUGAUUGAUCCUACACUGUCGAGAAAAGCUUCUAGGUAGAGACACAUCGCCCGUACCAAAACCGACACAGGUAGGCGGGGAGAGAAUCCUAAGGUGCGCGGGAAAACCCUCGUUAAGGAACUCGGCAAAAUGCCUCCGUAACUUCGGGAAAAGGAGGACUCAUGUAGUGUGAAGAGCAGAAGCGCUUGGAGCAUGAAUGAGUGGCACAAGAGAGGCGCAAGCGACUGUUUACCACAAACACAGGUGCCUGCUAAAGCGAAAGCUGAUGUAUAGGUGCUGACACCUGCCCGGUGCUGGAAGGUUAAGAGGAGGGGUUAGACUUCGGUCGAAGCUCUGAAUUGAAGCCCCAGUAAACGGCGGCCGUAACUAUAACGGUCCUAAGGUAGCGAAAUUCCUUGUCGGGUAAGUUCC